UACGGGGGGGGCAAGCGUUGUUCGGAAUUAUUGGGCGUAAAGAGCUCGUAGGCGGUCCAUUAAGUCGGAAGUGAAAUCUCAGGGCUCAACCCUGAAAUUGCUUUCGAUACUGGUGGACUUGAGGCAGGUAGGGGAAGGUGGAAUUCCUGGUGUAGCGGUGAAAUGCGCAGAUAUCAGGAGGAACACCAGUGGCGAAGGCGGCCUUCUGGGCCUGUUCUGACGCUGAGGAGCGAAAGCGUGGGGAGCAAACAGG
Molecule: ribosomal RNA, 253 nt
Filed under: uncultured bacterium
Lineage: Bacteria
Description: partial 16S ribosomal RNA
Rfam family: Bacterial small subunit ribosomal RNA
Source: RNAcentral